AACUAACGCUGGCGGCGUGCCUAACACAUGCAAGUCGUACGAGAAAGCCGGCUUCGGCUGGUGAGUAAAGUGGCGCACGGGUGAGUAACGCGUGGAUAAUCUGCCCUUAAGUGUGGAAUAACGUACCGAAAGGUGCGCUAAUACCGCAUAAUGCCUGGCAACACAAGUUGUCCGGCCAAAGAAGGCCUCUGUUUACAAGCUUUCGCUUCAGGAUGAGUCCGCGUACCAUUAGCUUGUUGGUGGGGUAAUGGCCUACCAAGGCUGCGAUGGUUAGCUGGUCUGAGAGGAUGAUCAGCCACACUGGAACUGAGACACGGUCCAGACUCCUACGGGAGGCAGCAGUGAGGAAUAUUGCGCAAUGGGGCGAACCCUGACGCAGCAACGCCGCGUGAGUGAGGAAGGUUUUCGGACCGUAAAGCUCUGUCGAGUGGGAAGAAGUGUAUCAUGGCUAAUAUCCGUGAUAUUUGACGGUACCGCUAGAGG
This 483-nucleotide ribosomal RNA is filed under the name uncultured bacterium. Its description in RNAcentral is "bacterial SSU rRNA". It matches the Rfam family "Bacterial small subunit ribosomal RNA", at positions 29 to 487 of the family's 1533-position model. The record is from RNAcentral.